Triticum aestivum (bread wheat) is the source of this 149-nucleotide non-coding RNA. The record is from Rfam. Lineage: Eukaryota; Viridiplantae; Streptophyta; Magnoliopsida; Poales; Poaceae.
GGAUGCGAUCAUACCAGCACUAAAACACCGGAUCCCAUCAGAACUCCGGAGUUAAGCGUGCUUGGGCAAUAGUAGUACUAGUUAAGCGUGCUUGGGCAAUAGUAGUACUAGGAUGGGUGACCUCCUGGGAAGUCCUCGUGUUGCAUUCC